UACGGAGGGUGCAAGCGUUGUUCGGAAUUACUGGGCGUAAAGGGCGCGUAGGCGACCUUUCAAGUCAGACGUGAAAUCCCCCGGCUUAACCUGGGAACUGCGUCUGAUACUGGGAGGCUCGAGUAUGGGAGAGGGAUGUAGAAUUCCAGGUGUAGCGGUGAAAUGCGUAGAUAUCUGGAGGAAUACCGGUGGCGAAGGCGGCAUCCUGGACCAUAACUGACGCUGAGGCGCGAAAGCUAGGGGAGCAAACGGG
Molecule: ribosomal RNA, 253 nt
Filed under: uncultured bacterium
Lineage: Bacteria
Description: partial 16S ribosomal RNA
Rfam family: Bacterial small subunit ribosomal RNA
Source: RNAcentral